GGUGUCAACUGUGGGGUUGUGGAGUGGGUGGAUGGUCCUUGGCCAGAGAUUCUACAAAGGUGCCUAACAAGGAUUUGGGACAUGUACCAUGAGCAGAACUUGGGGAGGGUGAAGGACAAACAAGCCCAUGAGAAAGAGGUGGCCAAGCUAAAGAAGGAAAUUGAUUUCCUGUCAAACAACUAUAGCCAGUUGGUGGAAGAUGUAUCCAAGCUUUUUGACUAUCAAGAUGGCAAGAUGUCUCAUGACAUGGACUAUACCAGCCAGGCAAUCAAUGAACUAAAUAAGAUGAAGAAACAACUUGAGGAUCAGGCAAAGAUUGAGUUAAGUAUGGAAAAGCUGAAGCUUGCCAAGGAGCAAAGGUGCAUUCUUUAA
RNAcentral lists this ribosomal RNA (372 nucleotides) under Triticum aestivum (bread wheat). RNAcentral's name for it is "partial small subunit ribosomal RNA". Lineage: Eukaryota; Viridiplantae; Streptophyta; Magnoliopsida; Poales; Poaceae. The record is from RNAcentral.